RNAcentral lists this ribosomal RNA (253 nucleotides) under uncultured bacterium. Its description in RNAcentral is "partial 16S ribosomal RNA". It matches the Rfam family "Bacterial small subunit ribosomal RNA", at positions 524 to 776 of the family's 1533-position model. The record is from RNAcentral.
UACGUAGGGCGCAAGCGUUGUCCGGAAUUAUUGGGCGUAAAGAGCUCGUAGGCGGUUUGUCGCGUCUGCUGUGAAAACCUAAGGCUCAACCUUGGGCUUGCAGUGGGUACGGGCAGACUAGAGUGCGGUAGGGGUGACUGGAAUUCCUGGUGUAGCGGUGAAAUGCGCAGAUAUCAGGAGGAACACCGGUGGCGAAGGCGGGUCUCUGGGCCGUGACUGACGCUGAGACGCGAAAGCGUGGGGAGCAAACAGG